RNAcentral lists this ribosomal RNA (202 nucleotides) under uncultured bacterium. RNAcentral's name for it is "partial 16S ribosomal RNA". It matches the Rfam family "Bacterial small subunit ribosomal RNA", at positions 1299 to 1500 of the family's 1533-position model. The record is from RNAcentral.
UGCAGCCUGCAACUCGGCUGCACGAAGCCGGAAUCGCUAGUAAUCGCAGAUCAGCAUGCUGCGGUGAACACGUUCCCGGGUCUUGUACACACCGCCCGUCACACCAUGGGAGCCGGGAAUGCCCGAAGCCAGUGACCCAACCUUAGGGAGGGAGCUGUCGAAGGUGGAGCCGGUAACUGGGGUGAAGUCGUAACAAGGUAAC